This 63-nucleotide transfer RNA is filed under the name Ramisyllis multicaudata. Its description in RNAcentral is "tRNA-Val". The record is from RNAcentral. Lineage: Eukaryota; Metazoa; Annelida; Polychaeta; Phyllodocida; Syllidae.
AGGGGUAUAGUAUAGAUAAUACAUUUUGCCUACACCAAAAAAACAGCUUAACUCUUGCCCCAU